Molecule: ribosomal RNA, 375 nt
Filed under: uncultured bacterium
Lineage: Bacteria
Description: bacterial SSU rRNA
Rfam family: Bacterial small subunit ribosomal RNA
Source: RNAcentral
AUACGUAGGGUGCAAGCGUUAAUCGGAAUUACUGGGCGUAAAGCGUGCGCAGGCGGUUUCGUAAGACAGAUGUGAAAGCCCCGGGCUCAACCUGGGAAGUGCAUUUGUGACUGCGAGACUAGAGUGUGUCAGAGGGAGGUAGAAUUCCACGUGUAGCAGUGAAAUGCGUAGAGAUGUGGAGGAAUACCGAUGGCGAAGGCAGCCUCCUGGGAUAACACUGACGCUCAUGCACGAAAGCGUGGGGAGCAAACAGGAUUAGAUACCCUGGUAGUCCACGCCCUAAACGAUGUCUACUAGUUGUCGGGGAUUCGUUUCCUUGGUAACGCAGCUAACGCGUGAAGUAGACCGCCUGGGGAGUACGGCCGCAAGGUUAAA